This 266-nucleotide ribosomal RNA is filed under the name uncultured archaeon. RNAcentral's name for it is "partial 16S ribosomal RNA". It matches the Rfam family "Archaeal small subunit ribosomal RNA", at positions 716 to 982 of the family's 1478-position model. The record is from RNAcentral.
AAGACGUCUACAUUAGAUACCCCGGUAGUCCUAGCCGUAAACGAUACUCGCUAGGUGUCGGCCACGGUGCGACCGUUGUCGGUGCCGUAGGGAAGCCGUGAAGCGAGCCACCUGGGAAGUACGGCCGCAAGGCUGAAAACUUAAAGGAAUUGGCGGGGGAGCACAAUAACGGGUGGAGCUUGCGGUUUAAUUGGAUUCAACGCCGGAAAUCUUACCGGACCGACAGCAAUAUGAAGGCCAAGCUGAAGACUUUGCCGGAUUAGCUG